CCUACGGGGGGCUGCAGUGGGGAAUAUUGGACAAUGGGCGAAAGCCUGAUCCAGCCAUGCCGCGUGUGUGAAGAAGGCCUUCGGGUUGUAAAGCACUUUCAGUGGGGAAGAAAGCCUUGGGGCUAAUACCCUCGAGGAAGGACAUCACCCACAGAAGAAGCACCGGCUAACUCCGUGCCAGCAGCCGCGGUAAUACGGAGGGUGCGAGCGUUAAUCGGAAUUACUGGGCGUAAAGCGCGCGUAGGCGGUCUGAUAAGCCGGUUGUGAAAGCCCCGGGCUCAACCUGGGAACAGCAUCCGGAACUGUCAGGCUAGAGUGCAGGAGAGGAAGGUAGAAUUCCCGGUGUAGCGGUGAAAUGCGUAGAGAUCGGGAGGAAUACCAGUGGCGAAGGCGGCCUUCUGGACUGACACUGACGCUGAGGUGCGAAAGCGUGGGUAGCAAACAGGAUUAGAUACCCUGGUAGUC
RNAcentral lists this ribosomal RNA (465 nucleotides) under Vreelandella stevensii. RNAcentral describes it as "partial 16S ribosomal RNA". It matches the Rfam family "Bacterial small subunit ribosomal RNA", at positions 338 to 795 of the family's 1533-position model. The record is from RNAcentral. Lineage: Bacteria; Pseudomonadati; Pseudomonadota; Gammaproteobacteria; Oceanospirillales; Halomonadaceae.